GGGGAAUAUUGCACAAUGGAGGAAACUCUGAUGCAGCAACGCCGCGUGGAGGAUGACGCAUUUCGGUGUGUAAACUCCUUUUAUAAGGGAAGAUAAUGACGGUACCUUAUGAAUAAGCACCGGCUAACUCCGUGCCAGCAGCCGCGGUAAUACGGAGGGUGCAAGCGUUACUCGGAAUCACUGGGCGUAAAGGAUGCGUAGGCUGGAAAUCAAGUCGAGAGUGAAAUCCAACGGCUCAACCGUUGAACUGCUCUCGAAACUGGUUACCUAGAAUAUGGGAGAGGUAGAUGGAAUUGGUGGUGUAGGGGUAAAAUCCGUAGAUAUCACCAGGAAUACCGAUUGCGAAGGCGAUCUACUGGAACAUGAUUGACGCUGAGGCAUGAAAGGGUGGGGAGCAAAC
This 400-nucleotide ribosomal RNA is filed under the name uncultured bacterium. RNAcentral describes it as "bacterial SSU rRNA". It matches the Rfam family "Bacterial small subunit ribosomal RNA", at positions 356 to 773 of the family's 1533-position model. The record is from RNAcentral.